GACGAACGCUGGCGGCGUGCUUAACACAUGCAAGUCGAACGGAAAGGCCCUGCUUGCCGGGUACUCGAGUGGCGAACGGGUGAGUAACACGUGGGUGAUCUGCCCUGCACUUCGGGAUAAGCCUGGGAAACUGGGUCUAAUACAGGAUAGGAGCCAUUUUUAGUGUGAUGGUUGGAAAGUUUUUUCGGUGUAGGAUGAGCUCGCGGCCUAUCAGCUUGUUGGUGGGGUAAUGGCCUACCAAGGCGGCGACGGGUAGCCGGCCUGAGAGGGUGGACGGCCACAUUGGGACUGAGAUACGGCCCAGACUCCUACGGGAGGCAGCAGUGGGGAAUAUUGCACAAUGGGCGCAAGCCUGAUGCAGCGACGCCGCGGGGGGGAUGACGGCCUUCGGGUUGUAAACUCGUUUCGCUAGGGACGAAGCUUUGUGUGACGGUACCUAGAGAAGAAGCACCGGCUAACUACGUG
Molecule: ribosomal RNA, 465 nt
Filed under: uncultured bacterium
Lineage: Bacteria
Description: partial 16S ribosomal RNA
Rfam family: Bacterial small subunit ribosomal RNA
Source: RNAcentral